RNAcentral lists this long non-coding RNA (503 nucleotides) under Coturnix japonica (Japanese quail). Its description in RNAcentral is "lncRNA (ENSCJPG00005016467.1)". Lineage: Eukaryota; Metazoa; Chordata; Aves; Galliformes; Phasianidae. The record is from RNAcentral.
GUACAAUACAGUACCUCUUGAUGAGCACUAGUAGCUGCAGUCUGUGACUUGAAUGGAAGUAGGAACAUGCUUCUUUGGAGAAAAGUCUUACAGAAACAAGUUAAUGGAUACUGAUGGCUGACAGCAGCUGAAAGAACUUCCAUCUUAAGCUUUACUGGGGAAGAAAGAAAUCUGGUGUCAGGUAUUUAAAAGGCUGGAGGAUAUUCCUGCAGUCACACACCUCGCUAGUAAUUUGCCCUAUGGAGCUCAAGAUUUAUGAUCACCAUACUAGCAGAACUACUCUUCCUCCCAAGUAAAGCUUCAAGAAUGGAAUGAAGGGCAUACUGCGAAUAAGAUUCAUCUGAAACAUAGAUCCUCUGCAGCUUCCUCUGUUUUCUCAGUCAAAGACUGUGAAGGAGUAAGAUAAGUUGUAUUCAGCUUUGAGCCAGGAGCCAUAGCUCCUUGCUACCCCGAAAAGCUUCCAGGUAUGCUAGAAUUCAGACACCAAAACUCAGAACCUUAAU